CCUACGGGGGGCUGCAGUGAGGAAUAUUGGUCAAUGGACGAGAGUCUGAACCAGCCAAGUAGCGUGAAGGAUGACUGCCCUAUGGGUUGUAAACUUCUUUUAUAUGGGAAUAAAACGUUCCACGUGUGGGAUUUUGUAUGUACCAUAUGAAUAAGGAUCGGCUAACUCCGUGCCAGCAGCCGCGGUAAUACGGAGGAUCCGAGCGUUAUCCGGAUUUAUUGGGUUUAAGGGGAGCGUAGGUGGAUUGUUAAGUCAGUUGUGAAAGUUUGCGGCUCAACCGUAAAAUUGCAGUUGAAACUGGCAGUCUUGAGGACAGUAGAGGUGGGCGGAAUUCGUGGUGUAGCGGUGAAAUGCUUAGAUAUCACGAAGAACUCCGAUUGCGAAGGCAGUUCACUGGACUGCAACUGACACUGAGGCUCGAAAGUGUGGGUAUCAAACAGGAUUAGAUACCCCAGUAGUC
This 460-nucleotide ribosomal RNA is filed under the name uncultured bacterium. Its description in RNAcentral is "partial 16S ribosomal RNA". It matches the Rfam family "Bacterial small subunit ribosomal RNA", at positions 338 to 795 of the family's 1533-position model. The record is from RNAcentral.